AUGAGAACCUGGUGCAGGUGGAAGGAAAGGGGACCCCACAGGGAAGGUAGAAGGGCCAGGGCUUUCCCCAGCAGUGGCCAGAUCUGAACAGAGAUGACUCUGUGUUGCUGUGGCCACUCCAGACCCCAGACCGCAGCCUGAUAUCCAAGCUCCCGAGGGAGCAGAAUGCAUCAGCCACCUCAGAGAGGAGGCGCAGCCCAGUCAGGGCCCCACGUUGUCACGGCUCCAGCUGUCCUCAGGAGGGAAACUGUCUUGCAAGCCUGGAGACUUCUGGUUGCUUCUCGGAGGAAAGGUAGCAUCUCCCUUCCUUUCUGGGAAACAAACAUUCCCGAGUACCAACUGCGUGCCAGGCCCAUUGCUAGCUGCAAUCUUAGGCGAGUCCCAAACCUCUCUGAGACUUGGGCCUGUCAUCUGGAAACAGAGUAGUCUAUAAAAGAUUGACUUCAAAGGGCUGUGAGGACAGUCAAAGAGACCAUAAAGCACAGAGCUUGGGCAGGGGUGGGCAUUCAGGAGAGGUGGUGGCCCCUUCCCCUGUGCCUGCCCCUGGGAAACCCUGUCCCCUACCUGGCUGGCAGCACAGGAGACGUGGAGAAGGGACAACCCGGUCUGGGGACGGGGCGGUUUCUCCAGGCUGGGCUGCCACUGUCUUCCUUCCCUGUGUGGGUGGUGGCUCAGGGCCUGGUGGUCUGCCACAAAGGUCCAGAAGGUCCACCCUUUCUGGUGGCUGGGGGUGGCAGUCAGGGGCUUCAGGACAAGCCUCUGGCUGCUGUGGCCCCCUACCCUUCCUCUGCACCUUGGGAGCCCCAGCCCCUGGGCUGUCUGAGUCUAUGCUAACAAAGUAGGAGCCAGAAACGUUCCUUUAGACACAGGUCACUGUGAGCCUUGGCUAAGCCUGGGGACCUCUUCUCGGCCCUGGCUACGGCCCAGAUGCCCACCCUGAACCUUCCACGAGUCAGGGCAGGCACCAUUUCCCCAGGACCAGCUGAGCAGUAAAGUCUCUUCUGGUUUAUCUGGAGGAAGGAAAAUGACGUCAUGAGGUAAACCGCACAGCCUGAAACCACGAGGCUGGGCGCCCCAGUGAUGUUUGCUUUUCAGCAAAAGUCACCAUGCACACAGAGGGACAGGGAGCCCAGGCCAUUGUGGUCAGAGGGUCAGGGGGAAGACAGAGGGAGAUUUUUUAACACGGAACCACAAGGAAGGAGAGGCCCCCGGAGAGGACGGACGUCAGAGGCCAGAGGGCGGCUUCCUGGGGUGCUGUGAGAGACUUGUCACCUGCUGGGUGGGGCAGUCUCUGCUGGUGUCUCACGAGGUCUCGGGCUUGGCACCUGAGGCAUGCAAAGUCACGUUUGCCAUGGCGGGCACAAUAAUAGUGGCAAGAAUAAUAAUAUCGAUAACGCAUCCUGACCAUGUGUCUCUGUAGCCCUGUCACCUCCUCACCACCGUCCCAUAAGACGGGACCCUGCGAGGCAGACGCAGCCUGCACACAGAGGAGGGAGGGGAGGCUGCUGGGGCUCCGGCCUGUGCUUUCGCCUCCAGACCAUGGAGCUUCUUCACCCACAUGCUGGGUGCCGUCCAGCCUGAGGCCUGUGUGCAGGGUCCCGGUUUCAAGCCCCGAUUCCCACCUGCUAACUGUGACCCAGGAAGCCCCACCCCCCGCAGCCCUCAGUUUCUUCACCUGCCAAACUCCCUGCCUUCGAGGUGAGAGAUUACGUAAGUAAGGUAAAGCUUAUUCUUCGAUACCGUUCUCUUACUCUGUCAAUGCUUUGAGCAGGGUUCCCUGGAGAAACUGGCCCCAAAGCGUGGGCCCAGACACUGGUCUUGAUGGGCUGGCUGAGGCGGGAGCUCCGUCUCAUGGGAGUGGAUGGGAGUGGCAGGCAGGUGGGUGGCACCUUCUGUGGAGCGGGGGCCAGUCGGCAGCUUAAACGAGGGCAGAGAGAGCUGUCUAGGGAGGUCCAAUGGGGCUUCACUUUUCUCAGGAAUCUCAGGGUCUCCAAGCCCCCACUCUAGGGUGGCAUGAGUUUGGGGGGUUCCUAAAGGAAGUCCCCUGUGUCUGGGUGUGCCUGGGUGGCAGUGUAGGGGCAGGUGUGGUGCCCACAUUGUCCAUAUGUCCUCACCCGCCCCAGGCCCCAGGCCCUCUGCCUCAGGGUGGGGCCGCAGCUCAGCUUUGAUGCCCCUGAGGGCCUGCCUGCCGGAACUGCUGUUUCAGGCAGGAGGUGGGAGGACGCAAUGCAGGCGGGGUUGCCCAACCAAAACACCCUCAGCCCAAUUCCUCCCACAGGCCUCCUGGAACCCGCAUUUCUUCAGUGGAGUCACAGCUUUUUGGGCUAUGGCUCCUCUUUUCAGUUCUUUUUCUUUAUAACACAAAGACACCAUGAGAGAGGCCGUACUUCACAAUCCCCAAGUGUUAGAAGGCAGAGGGUCUUCCAGACAGCCACCACCAGGCCUGUGCUUUACAGAGGAGGAAGCUGAAAGGACUGGUCCAAGACCACACAGCGGGGAGCAGGUGGCAGCACGGACGCUCGAAGCUUGGUCUCUCGCUGUGGAGUUUUCUCUCGCCUGUCUCUACCGCUAUCAUCCUAAUACUGAAGCAUCAGGUCCUUUUUCAAGACACCACCAGCUACAAGCAGAGGGCAAGCCUGGGGCUGAGAAGCACUGUGGGGAGGAGGGGUGGAGCUGGGAGAGGGUCACGGGAGUCAGGGGCCAGGGAAAGCUGCCAAGCAGAGACAGCCUCUCCUGCCCCUUUCCCAGGGCUGACUCAGCACCUUACGCGUGAGGAUUUGUCAUCAACAACUGACCCCAAAAGCCAUGGUGCCCUGGGGUUGGUGUCCCAGUGAUGCUUUUCUGACUCGUGGCCCAGGAUGACACAAAGCCCCAAGGGACAAGCCAGAGAUCCCACUGGCCCAGCCAGAUGCUCCAAGAUUCCUUUUGCCUGUAACCCAGAACUGGCCCACCCUCUUGCCUGGUUACUGGGGCUUUCACGAAAGAGCAAUGGACAGUGGGAAGGGCUCGCUGUGAGGCAGGAUCAGUCCUGGGGCCCUGGGAGUGUCUCUUCCCUUCCCCGAGCCUCAGUGUUCUUGUCUGUACAAUGGAAGUUCAGGUCAGAUGGUCUCUGGAUUCCUUCCCAGCUCUGAGAACCAGGUUCUACCUCAGCUGUUCUCAGAAAGGACAGGGUGGUCCGGGCUGGGCAUGGGCUUGAGGCUUGUGCCCCUCUCCUAGCCCCAAGGACUUCCCAUCCUUUCAGGUCCCGCUGGGGCUCAGCUGCCCAACUCUGAUCAGAAAGAAGAGCUGUAAGUCUGGCUGGGCGGUGGCUCAUGCCUCUAAUCCCAGCACUUUGGGAGGCCAAAGAGGAUGGACUGCUUGAGCCCAGGAGUUCGGGACCAGCCUGGGAACCCUCUCAUGGGACAGCUGGACACAGCCAGGCGGGAAGGACUCUUCACCAGCCCCGUCUCCAUAGUCCCGGCUGCCAUCACUGCUGGCAUCGACACUGACCCUCCAGCUCCAGCACCAGGUCACCACCCUGCCCCUCAUCCAUCCUCCUCCUCCACGCGUGAUGAAUGAGCUUUUCUCAUUCAAUCAUUCUCAGGGGCAGCAUAGCGUGGCCAGUAGGAAGGAGGAUGCGGGAGCCAGCCUGCCUGGCUCCACCACCCACCAGCUGCUUUUAUUCCCUGCCUGCUCUAGUUCCCUGGCUGUAAAAUGGGGAUACAAAUAAUAUCUUCCUCAUCAGGUCACUGGGAGGCUUAAAUAAGCCCAUACUGUAAAGUGCUUAGAACAGGGCCUGCCACGUAGUAAGUACUCCAUAAUUGCUAUCAUUCAUCCAUUCAUUCAUUCAUUCAUUCAUUCGUGAAUUCUAUCCUGCCUGUUUCUGAAAGAGUUGAGAUGACUCACAGUGGAAAUGCAAUGAUAACAGGCCUUUAAAUUCAGAUUAAAAGAACACAAGCCUAGGCUGCAGAGGAGAGAGUGUCCCAGAAUCUGAGCCAAGCAAGCCUCACCUGAAUACAACCUCCCGGCGUCUCAUCCAAAACAUAAAGGUUGCUGGUAUCAAUUCUCCUUUUCUGAUGAAAGGAAGCAUAACAGCUUUCCAGCGGAAUAGAAGAUUUUUUUUUGGUUCAAACUUUAUGAAUGACAUUAAACAAUGCAAUGAGUAGCCUCCCCCUCACCUCACCCUGUCCGCCUUUUUAAUCAACUCCUGAGAAAUGGGGUCUGCUCUUCUUCCCAUCCCACUCCCCAUCUCCAGACCCUGCGGAAGCCUGUGGUCCUGGAGAGCCUGAGAGCCCUCAGAGCGAUACCUUCAGCUAUCCCAGGAGAAGGACACUCUUCGCUUUCAGCACCAGGGGAAAACUAGGAAAAAGCCAAGCCACUGAGUCAAUGAGGGCCUUCCCUCAGCUGCAGACAGCAAGCCCCUUCCAGGCGCUUCCCCGCAGCUACGGCAGCAAGUGCCCCAGGGGCAGGGCCGGGAAUGCUCACUGAGAAAUCCCAGAGCUGCCUGCACUUCCUCUCACCGGCUUCCCCUUCUCUCAGCAGCCACAGGCACGGGAAAGGCCUUAUCACCGCUCACCUGACUGUGGCCACAGUCUCCUCCCUGUCAGCGUCUCCCCGCCCAAUCAACGCUUCACACCUUUGCAGCUGCUGAUUCCCGGAGGACCACUUACACCAAGCACUGUGAGCUGAUCGAUGGCAGAGUCUCUCCAGCUCAUGAGUCUUCAGUGACUCCCCAUUGUCCAUGGAAAACAGAAGACACCUGAGGCCUUGCACAGUGGACCUUAUUCUCAUCCCUCCCUCAGGAGAAUCCUCUGCCUCGAGCCGAAGGCCGUGGGCUCUGCAGACUCCAGGCCUCUCCUUCCCAGGGCGGUCUUCCCUUUCCCUAUGCUCAAGGCACAGCCCAAGUCCCACCUCCUCCAUUGCAAGGGACACCACCCUCUGAAUUCCUGUUGGGGAAAGAGCCUAGUUUUGCAGCCAGAUAGGCCCGAGUUAGAGUCUCAGCUCAGUUCCAAUCCCAUUAGCUGGUUGCAAGUCAUUAACUUUGUCAACCUUCAGUAAAUGGAAAUCAGGCCCACACUGUAGGUGCCUGGGGGUGCUGAUGGUUGAGUGGAAUCUGUUCUUUUGACCUUCCCAGCAUCUUUCCCCUUCCCAGCAUCCUUUCCCCUUUCUUUUGGUGAUGUCGCCUGGAUUUUCUGUUGGGUAUGUGGUCCAGGGGUGGCUGACCUCACUUCCUGGUUCCAGCAUAAGAUCAUGACUGAGAGCUGGCCAAUGAGAAUAUUCCCUCGCCCCAGCCACAGAGUCAGAUUCCCGGGGAUGAACUUGUGAGUCAAAACAGGCUGGUGGGAACACACUUGGGGUGUUAGCUGGAGUUAUUGAAGCUUUCUUUCCCACUGGAGUCACUAGGUAGAUAGAAGGAAAGCUGAAGCCUUUAGCCACUGCUGUGGGUUGAAGUGUGUACCCCAAAAAGAUAUGUUCAAAUUCUAAUCCCCUGCACCUUUGGAGGUGGCCUUGUUUGGAAAAAGGGUCUUUGCAGAUGUAGGCAAGUGAAGAUGAAGCCAUCCUGGAUCAGGGUGGCUUGUGGCUUGUGUCCAAUGCCUUGUGUCCUUCUAAGAAGAGAGAAAUCGAGACACAGACACACACAGGGAAAAGGCCGAGUGAUGACAGCAGCAGAGAUGGGAGCGCGGCAGCUACAAGCUGAGGGAUGCCAAGCAUGGCUGGCACCACCCAGGAGCCUGGAGAGAGGGAGGGGACAGCCUCCUCCUUAGAGCCUCGAAACACCCUACCCACAUCCUGGCUUCAGACUUCCAGCCUGCACAACUGGGAGAGAAUCACUUUCUGCUGUGUUAAGCUACACUAGUUCAUGGUGAUUUGUUACAGCAGCUGCAGGAAAUGAACACAGACACCAAAUGGAGAUACUGUGUCUGAGAUUGAAGCCAGCACCGUGGAAUCAGAGCUGCCAGGAGGGAGACGUGGACUCUCGACCCUGUGGCCACACUUGGUUCCCCCAGCAGCUGAAGCACGAAGUCUACUGGACUUACUAGACUUUCCAGUUACCUGGACCAAUAUAUUCUCUGUUUUACUUAAGCUGUUUCGAUUGGAUUUCUGGCUAUUUCAACUGAGAGAGGCCUAACUCUCAGUUAUACAGAGACAAUGGAUGUAAAAUGCAUUGAAGGCCAGGCACAGUGGCUCGCGCCUGUAAUCCCAACACUUUGGAAAGCCAAGGCAGGAGGAUGGCUUG
Molecule: long non-coding RNA, 6217 nt
Filed under: Homo sapiens (human)
Lineage: Eukaryota; Metazoa; Chordata; Mammalia; Primates; Hominidae
Description: HSALNT0301311
Source: RNAcentral